UGGGGAAUAUUGCGCAAUGGGGGCAACCCUGACGCAGCAACGCCGCGUGAGCGAUGAAGGUUUUCGGAUCGUAAAGCUCUGUUCUGAGGGAAGAUAAUGACGGUACCUCAGGAGAAAGCCCCGGCUAACUACGUGCCAGCAGCCGCGGUAAUACGUAGGGGGCAAGCGUUGUCCGGAUUCACUGGGCGUAAAGAGCACGUAGGCGGUUAAUUAAGUCAGGUGUGAAAGUUUUCGGCUCAACCGGAAAAGUGCACUUGAAACUGGAUAACUUGAGUAUCGGAGAGGUAAGCGGAAUUCCUAGUGUAGCGGUGAAAUGCGUAGAGAUUAGGAAGAACACCGGUGGCGAAGGCGGCUUACUGGACGAUAACUGACGCUGAGGUGCGAAAGCGUGGGGAGCGAACAGG
Molecule: ribosomal RNA, 404 nt
Filed under: uncultured bacterium
Lineage: Bacteria
Description: bacterial SSU rRNA
Rfam family: Bacterial small subunit ribosomal RNA
Source: RNAcentral